AACGAACGCUGGCGGCAUGCCUAACACAUGCAAGUCGAACGGGAUCCUAGCUUGCUAGGUGAGAGUGGCGGACGGGUGAGUAACACGUGGGAAUCUGCCUUUUGGUUCGGGAUAACCGCGGGAAACUGCGGCUAAUACCGAAUGCCCUCGAGAGAGGAAAGAUUUAUCGCCAGAAGAGGAGCCCGCGUCCGAUUAGGUAGUUGGUGGGGUAAAGGCCUACCAAGCCGACGAUCGGUAGCUGGUCUGAGAGGAUGAUCAGCCACACUGGGACUGAGAUACGGCCCAGACUCUUACGGGAGGCAGCAGUGGGGAAUAUUGGACAAUGGGGGCAACCCUGAUCCAGCAAUGCCGCGUGAGUGAUGAAGGCCUUAGGGUUGUAAGCUCUUUUGCCAGGGAAGAUGAUGACUGUACCUGGAGAAUAAGCCCCGGCUAACUUCGUGCCAGCAGCCGCGGU
RNAcentral lists this ribosomal RNA (454 nucleotides) under uncultured bacterium. RNAcentral's name for it is "bacterial SSU rRNA". It matches the Rfam family "Bacterial small subunit ribosomal RNA", at positions 29 to 521 of the family's 1533-position model. The record is from RNAcentral.